Molecule: ribosomal RNA, 253 nt
Filed under: uncultured bacterium
Lineage: Bacteria
Description: partial 16S ribosomal RNA
Rfam family: Bacterial small subunit ribosomal RNA
Source: RNAcentral
UACGUAGGGGGCUAGCGUUGUCCGGAAUCAUUGGGCGUAAAGAGCGUGUAGGCGGCCCGGUAAGUCGGGUGUGAAAUCUCGGAGCUUAACUCCGAAACUGCAUUCGAUACUGCCGUGCUUGAGGACUGGAGAGGAGACUGGAAUUUACGGUGUAGCGGUGAAAUGCGUAGAUAUCGUAAGGAAGACCAGUGGCGAAGGCGGGUCUCUGGACAGUUCCUGACGCUGAGGCACGAAGGUCAGGGGAGCAAACGGG